AACGAACGCUGGCGGCAGGCCUAACACAUGCAAGUCGAGCGCCCUUUCGGGGGAGCGGCGGACGGGUGAGUAACGCGUGGGAAUAUGCCCUUCUCUACGGAAUAGCCUCGGGAAACUGAGAGUAAUACCGUAUACGCCCUUAGGGGGAACGAUUUAGCGGGGAAGGAUUAGCCCGCGUUGGAUUAGGUAGUUGGUGGGGUAAUGGCCGACCAAGCCGACGAUCCAUAGCUGGUUUGAGAGGAUGAUCAGCCACACUGGGACUGAGACACGGCACAGACUCCUACGGGAGGCAGCAGUGGGGAAUCUUAGACAAUGGGGGCAACCCAGAUCUAGCCAUGCCGCGAGAGUGAUGAAGGCCUUAGGGUUGUAAAGCUCUAUCGGCUGGGAAGAUAAUGACGGUACCAGCAGAAGAAGCCCCGGCUAACUCCGUGCCAGCAGCCGCGGUAA
RNAcentral lists this ribosomal RNA (447 nucleotides) under uncultured bacterium. Its description in RNAcentral is "partial 16S ribosomal RNA". It matches the Rfam family "Bacterial small subunit ribosomal RNA", at positions 29 to 523 of the family's 1533-position model. The record is from RNAcentral.